CCUGCCUUCUUGCAGCCGACCGCGAGUGCGAUGGGACGCUUCGUUCCGAAGAUCUCCAGAUUGGGGCUCGACAUAUUCGGUGGGUUGUAUCGCAUAGCCGAGGUGCGGCGACUCGGUCACCCUACGUCAGUAACACGUCGUUCUACUCUCUCGCUCCCCCCGUGUGGGUGAGAAGGAGCGGCCUCUUACUACGUCCUAUGCGCCACUUGCGGCCGCACGCCUUGUGCGCGUGACACGCCGCGCCGUUCGACCCUUGGGACGGUCGUGUGCUUAGGGAUGCAGUGAAUCGGAGGGGGUCGGGUGCCCCGUGCGGCUCCCGGCCCGACAGACGGGAAAUUUCGUAUCGAAAGGCGUUUGCGUACGCCACGAGCGGGCAAGCUUUCGGAGGGCGUAAACAAUAAACGACAGUCGCGUGUGCGUCCUCGUCUUCGUGGACGGAGGGACGGGCUGCCCGCGGGUGUCGUCUCGGAGGGUUCGCUAC
RNAcentral lists this unclassified non-coding RNA (481 nucleotides) under Thaumatophyllum solimoesense. Its description in RNAcentral is "Philodendron solimoesense partial external transcribed spacer". The record is from RNAcentral. Lineage: Eukaryota; Viridiplantae; Streptophyta; Magnoliopsida; Alismatales; Araceae.